ACAUGCUUGUGGGCGGCCUCCAGCGGUGUGCCGCUCCCUGAGAGGUGACAGGGAUCCUGGGGGCCAUCGGUCUGGAGCGGGAAUGUGCGAAGUUCUAUGUGGAAAUAAUACAGAGAACGGAGGCGAAGUCUACAUGGGCGCAGCAGCUCGGUCUUUGAGGGAUGGGAUGGGGGAGCGCAGGUGGGACAUUGGGAGUGCUGGGUGGACCGCGGCAUUGGCCGGGUCCGCAUGCGAGCGGGGCCUGGACGUCGGAUGGGAUGGCUCCAGAGCAGUGGGGCACUUGGAGAACCCCGAGGAUUUGCCCAUUGUGGAGACAGUACAAAUAUGCAAAUUUGAACAGGGAGU
Molecule: long non-coding RNA, 345 nt
Filed under: Androctonus crassicauda
Lineage: Eukaryota; Metazoa; Arthropoda; Arachnida; Scorpiones; Buthidae
Source: RNAcentral